RNAcentral lists this long non-coding RNA (543 nucleotides) under Phoenix dactylifera (date palm). RNAcentral's name for it is "long non-coding RNA (PDAC_LNC022097)". Lineage: Eukaryota; Viridiplantae; Streptophyta; Magnoliopsida; Arecales; Arecaceae. The record is from RNAcentral.
GAAAUGAAGGAUAUUCUUUCCCAAUAUUCUUGUCCUUACACUUCCUAAUAGAAUGGGGUAGCAGAGCGUAAGAAUCGCAUCUUUUGGAUGUUGUUCGUGAAAGUGAAUCCUAGGUUCUUCGGUGUUAAGCAUGCUUAAUUUUUUUUUUAAAACCAUGGCUGAACCUGAUCGGGUUGCCUACGUACCCCCUUCACAAGGGGGAUCAAGCCACAAAUGCAGCGGAAAAAUCAAAUUAAAUAAUUUAAUUCGUGCAUGCUUACAAGAUCAAAUCUAGAAAUCAGCAUUGUAAGAACAUAUAGGAUUAUGCCGAAAUCGUUUAAAUAAUUAUGCUAAAAUUUUAUGCAUGAUUAACUAUCAAAUCUGAAAGGUAAACACUCUAUUCCGAUUAAUCUCCGAAUAUCCAUUGAAUGGAUUCUGGAGAUAACUCCGUGAGGAGCCCCAAAGGAGGGUAAAAUCUCGAAAAAUCGGACCUAGAUCCUGACUCCAAAAUAAAAGAUUAAUAUAGAAUUAAUACCUUUUAUGAUGGAAGAAACUUGUGGAUCU